RNAcentral lists this ribosomal RNA (425 nucleotides) under uncultured bacterium. RNAcentral describes it as "bacterial SSU rRNA". It matches the Rfam family "Bacterial small subunit ribosomal RNA", at positions 354 to 796 of the family's 1533-position model. The record is from RNAcentral.
GUUAGGAAUAUUGGACAAUGGGCGAAAGCCUGAUCCAGCCAUGCCGCGUGAACGAUGAAGGCCUUCGGGUUGUAAAGUUCUUUAGCCGAUGAUUAUAAUGACUGUAGUCGGAAAAUAAGCCCCGGCUAACUUCGUGCCAGCAGCCGCGGUAAUACGAAGGGGGCGAGCGUUAUUCGGAAUCACUGGGCGUAAAGCGUGCGUAGGCGGUUUUGUAAGUUAGGAGUGAAAGCCCAGGGCUCAACCUUGGAAUUGCUCUUAAAACUGCAAGGCUCGAAUCUCGGAGAGGAUAGCGGAAUUUCCAGUGUAGCAGUGAAAUGCGUAGAUAUUGGAAGGAACACCAGUGGCGUAAGCGGCUAUCUGGACGAGUAUUGACGCUGAGGCACGAAAGCGUGGGGAUCAAACAGGAUUAGAAACCCCGGUAGUCC